AGAGACAAAAAAGAAAGAAGCAAAAGCAUAGAAGGGAGAGGACUUUCGAAGACUUUCAAUGAAGGGUACUAGCCCUAGGGCGAACAAAGAGCCGAUGAUUUUAGUUAUACAAGCAAAUCGGUAGCGAAAAGAGAGACAGGACUUACUAAGGCUUUAAGGAGUUCCAGUGAAGGCUUCUCUGUCUAGGGCAAACGGAGAGCCGCCGAUUUCAAUUACACUAGUUUUCAGUAAUUUUAAAUUUUUAACUACUUGAUAAAUCUCAAAUUUAUUUUUCAUACUCUAACUACUUGAUAACAUUUAGUUUUUUUUUUUUUAAAUUAACUUUAUGUGUACAUGUUUAUUUCAUGCAUCAUCAUAACUUACGUGGAUAAGUAUUGCAUGUUACGUUGUUAGCAACUGAUAAUCCCAGAAGGAAUAAAUGAGGAAGGUUGAAUAGUUUUGGUUAUAUAUUCUUACCUCGGCGCCUUGUAUAUAUGGAUUGAACAUUGCAUAAACAAUUUUUUUUUUGGUCUAAAUGUUAUGCAUAAACAAAUUAAUUUUAUGUACUUACUUAUUUUAAGUUCUUUUAAAUAUUAUGAAAUAACAAAAUAAAAUAGAUACAUAUUCAAUAAUUGAGAAGCAUAAAAUAUUAAUUUAG
RNAcentral lists this long non-coding RNA (637 nucleotides) under Brassica rapa (field mustard). Its description in RNAcentral is "long non-coding RNA (BRAP_LNC002776)". Lineage: Eukaryota; Viridiplantae; Streptophyta; Magnoliopsida; Brassicales; Brassicaceae. The record is from RNAcentral.